GAUUGAACGCUAGCGGGAUGCCUUACACAUGCAAGUCGAACGGCAGCACGGACUUCGGUCUGGUGGCGAGUGGCGAACGGGUGAGUAAUGUAUCGGAACGUGCCUAGUAGCGGGGGAUAACUACGCGAAAGCGUAGCUAAUACCGCAUACGCCCUACGGGGGAAAGCAGGGGAUCGCAAGACCUUGCACUAUUAGAGCGGCCGAUAUCGGAUUAGCUAGUUGGUGGGGUAACGGCUCACCAAGGCGACGAUCCGUAGCUGGUUUGAGAGGACGACCAGCCACACUGGGACUGAGACACGGCCCAGACUCCUACGGGAGGCAGCAGUGGGGAAUUUUGGACAAUGGGGGAAACCCUGAUCCAGCCAUCCCGCGUGUGCGAUGAAGGCCUUCGGGUUGUAAAGCACUUUUGGCAGGAAAGAAACGUCAUGGGCUAAUACCCCGGAAA
RNAcentral lists this ribosomal RNA (445 nucleotides) under Alcaligenaceae bacterium BTRH5. Its description in RNAcentral is "bacterial SSU rRNA". It matches the Rfam family "Bacterial small subunit ribosomal RNA", at positions 27 to 469 of the family's 1533-position model. Lineage: Bacteria; Pseudomonadati; Pseudomonadota; Betaproteobacteria; Burkholderiales; Alcaligenaceae. The record is from RNAcentral.